This 18-nucleotide ribosomal RNA is filed under the name Aspergillus tamarii. RNAcentral's name for it is "partial 18S ribosomal RNA". The record is from RNAcentral. Lineage: Eukaryota; Fungi; Ascomycota; Eurotiomycetes; Eurotiales; Aspergillaceae.
UAACAGGGAAGGAUCAUU